RNAcentral lists this ribosomal RNA (303 nucleotides) under uncultured bacterium. RNAcentral's name for it is "bacterial SSU rRNA". It matches the Rfam family "Bacterial small subunit ribosomal RNA", at positions 355 to 673 of the family's 1533-position model. The record is from RNAcentral.
UGGGGAAUAUUGGGCAAUGGGCGCAAGCCUGACCCAGCAACGCCGCGUGAAGGAAGAAGGCUUUCGGGUUGUAAACUUCUUUUCUGGGGGACGAACAAAUGACGGUACCCCAGGAAUAAGCCACGGCUAACUACGUGCCAGCAGCCGCGGUAAUACGUAGGUGGCAAGCGUUAUCCGGAUUUAUUGGGUGUAAAGGGCGUGUAGGCGGGAAUGCAAGUCAGAUGUGAAAACUAUGGGCUCAACCCAUAGCCUGCAUUUGAAACUGUAUUUCUUGAGUGCUGGAGAGGCAAUCGGAAUUCCGUG